AAGCGCACGCAGGCGGCCUUUUAAGUCUGAUGUGAAAGCCCACGGCUCAACCGUGGAGGUGCAUUGGAAACUGGAAGGCUUGAGGAUAUAAGAGGAAAGUGGAAUUCCACGUGUAGCGGUGAAAUGCGUAGAGAUGUGGAGGAACACCAGUGGCGAAGGCGACUUUCUAGUAUAUUACUGACGCUGANGCGCGAAGGCGUGGGGAGCAAACAGGAUUAGAUACCCUGGUAGUCCACGCUGUAAAC
This 245-nucleotide ribosomal RNA is filed under the name uncultured bacterium. RNAcentral's name for it is "partial 16S ribosomal RNA". It matches the Rfam family "Bacterial small subunit ribosomal RNA", at positions 563 to 807 of the family's 1533-position model. The record is from RNAcentral.